CAGUAGCCGCGGUAAUACAGAGGGUGCGAGCGUUAAUCGGAUUUACUGGGCGUAAAGCGUGCGUAGGCGGCUAAAUGAGUCGGAUGUGAAAUCCCCGAGCUUAACUUGGGAAUUGCAUUCGAUACUGGUUAGCUAGAGUGUGGGAGAGGAUGGUAGAAUUCCAGGUGUAGCGGUGAAAUGCGUAGAGAUCUGGAGGAAUACCGAUGGCGAAGGCAGCCAUCUGGCCUAACACUGACGCUGAGGUACGAAAGCAUGGGGAGCAAACAGGAUUAGAUACCCCCGUAGUCCCUGUCUCUUAUAC
This 301-nucleotide ribosomal RNA is filed under the name uncultured bacterium. Its description in RNAcentral is "partial 16S ribosomal RNA". It matches the Rfam family "Bacterial small subunit ribosomal RNA", at positions 509 to 807 of the family's 1533-position model. The record is from RNAcentral.